CUAAUCUUCUUCUUACUAGGUCACCCAUCGUGUACCACCUAAAAUAAGAGAUUGGGGCUGCAAAUUUUGAGCAAGAGAGAACACAGAAGCCGUCUGAAGCCAUCUGAAGUCGUCCGUCGUCGACACUGGCAUUCCAGACGGGUAAAUCGUGUACCACCCAUCUGAAGUCGUGUACCAUUGUGUACCACCCAUUUGAAGACGUCUGUCGUCGACCCUGGCGUUCGAGGCGUGGAGUGUCCAGUUGGUUUAGUGUAGCCGCGUGGGUUCCGGUUUGCGUCCGGCGAGUGGGUUUCCGAUGUAGGUGUUUUUCGGGUAGAUUGAUUCCAGUUUCAGGGGUUGUCUUCCACGGGCGUGUCUGGCUUUCAGAGGUGUUAGUUGUCCGUGGAUCUCUUGGUAUAUGUGGGUGUUUUUUUACCGACUGUAGGUUUGGUUUAACUCAUUUUUCUCUUAUUAUCAUUUUAUUCUCUAUAAUUUGGGAUUUUUCCAAUUCUAGUCCCGUACUUUCAAAUAUUUAAUUUGUGAUUUGGGCUAUAAUGUAGCAUCUUUUGUAAUGAUUUGCUUGCUUGAAUGUUUGAUGAUAAGAUUGAUUUUGAAGUGUUGGAAGGAGUUGAGUUGUUGUCCAAUAGGUUUGAGACCGAUCUUCGCAAGGUUUUGGUAAGUUUCGGUGGUACAUCAUUAUGGAUUGCAUUAGUCUUUCUGGUGAGUAUCCUUAAUUCUCUUAUCUCUUGAACCUCUUCGUUCUCGAUACAAAAAUGAAACAUUUUUGUUACCCGACCAACCAUUAGGAGAAGCAAAUACAACGGGCACACUAAUCAGUAAGAUUGAUCAAGUAACAAUUAAUGCAAAAACAGCCAAUUGGAAAGCAAUAGUCAUGUUUCUAAUCAUCCAAUCUACCAACAAAAUAUACCAUUGAUCCCUUUACCAGCCAACCAAAAUUUUGAUAAAAUGUAUCAGGUAGGGAUUUUACCAUAAAUCCAUUGAUUUUAUAUUACUUCUUACUUUUUUAAUACUUUAGCAUGCAUGGGAUUGAUGUAUACUGGAUCAUAUAUAUUAUAUACAUAUAGAUAGAUUUAUAAAUUCCAACUUAUGUGUCAAUGUUCUAUUCGAUGGGAUGGAAUAUAAAUCAGGUUAGUAUUAAUAGUUCUUUGUUACCCAUUGAAGUAUUGGUCUAAUAAUUAAGUUAUUUUCAAUUUUUGAUGUGCAAUUAAAAUAUUUCAAGGGAUUGGAGCCACAGUUGAUAGCUAUUAAGGCCUUGAAACUCUUUUGAAAUUGUUACAUAGUUGCUGGAAUUUGCGUUUUGUAACCAUUAUUAUUGAACUUUUCGUAGGUUAGAUUACUUUGUUGUAGUUUUGAAGUGACAUUUGGAUCAAGCCACACUUUGGGUAAUCUAUUUGGAGUUAAUUGGUUAUUUUGGUGAAUGAAAUUUUGAAGAACUUUUUUAUUGCUUGUAGAUAAGAUUGGGCUUCCAAUAUUCUCUUCUACUCAUUGAUUCUUGUAUUAGUUUUCUAUUAAAGAUGCACUUUGAUUCCCUUUAUAGAUGGAUUACAAUUGUGUCAAGUCUCUUUCGCCUGAAAGUUGUGAAAGUUGUGAAAGUUGGGGGAAAGGUAUCUUCAUUCUUCUAUUUUAAAUUUUAGCAUAUGUUUGAUUUGUUGAUAAUCUUCUUCUUCUUUGUUAUAUUUUCUCAAAUCUCUCCCAUCUUCGUUUGUUUUGUAGCAAAAGGUAAGUGUUAGGUUGAAUAUGGUCAAAAGAGAAUGAAUGAAAUCCCAGUUGACUUGCUUAAACAUGGCUUGCCUGACCCUUAGUUCUCGAUCUUUAGACUUCAAAGCUCAAUGUAUAGAUUAAAUAAUGUACUUUGUUGAGAGGUUACUUAUUAAACAGUCACUUUUGUGUUUGUUGAAAGUUGAGUUUUGUAUACAAAAACAAUAGUUGAGAUUUUAUUUUGUGCAUGUACAUGUGAAAAAGAAAUACUGUUGUAAUUUAUGAGCAGUGUUCAUAUGAAAGGUCAUAGUUGAACAUAUGGAAUUUUUAGUGAAUAUAUUGAGUUGAUA
Non-coding RNA from Benincasa hispida (wax gourd), 2048 nucleotides. NCBI's taxonomy places the organism in Eukaryota, Viridiplantae, Streptophyta, Magnoliopsida, Cucurbitales, Cucurbitaceae. The record is from RefSeq and is a predicted model, not a curated record.